GGUCGCAUGGUCUAGCUGGUUAGGACGCCUGCCUGUCACGCAGGAGAUCGCGGGUUCGAACCCCGCUGUGACCGCUA
This 77-nucleotide transfer RNA is filed under the name Leuconostoc mesenteroides. RNAcentral describes it as "tRNA-Asp". It matches the Rfam family "tRNA". From Rfam's summary of the family: Transfer RNA (tRNA) molecules are approximately 80 nucleotides in length. Their secondary structure includes four short double-helical elements and three loops (D, anti-codon, and T loops). Further hydrogen bonds mediate the characteristic L-shaped molecular structure. tRNAs have two regions of fundamental functional importance: the anti-codon, which is responsible for specific mRNA codon recognition, and the 3' end, to which the tRNAs corresponding amino acid is attached (by aminoacyl-tRNA synthetases). tRNAs cope with the degeneracy of the genetic code in two manners: having more than one tRNA (with a specific anti-codon) for a particular amino acid; and 'wobble' base-pairing, i.e. permitting non-standard base-pairing at the 3rd anti-codon position. Lineage: Bacteria; Bacillati; Bacillota; Bacilli; Lactobacillales; Lactobacillaceae. The record is from RNAcentral.